GACGAACGCUGGCGGCGUGCUUAACACAUGCAAGUCGAACGGGAGUAUUGAAGAAGCUUGCUUUAGAGAUACUUUAGUGGCGGACGGGUGAGUAACGCGUGAGGAGCUGUCCUAUGCAGGGGGACAACAGCUGGAAACGGCUGCUAAUACCCCAUAAGCCGAGAGGUAAAAGGAUCAAUCCGGCAGAGGAGGUACUCGCGUCCUAUCAGCUAGUAGGUGAGGUAACGGCUCACCUAGGCGAAGACGGGUAGCCGGCCUGAGAGGGCGAACGGCCACACUGGAACUGAGAUACGGUCCAGACUCCUACGGGAGGCAGCAGUGGGGAAUAUUGGGCAAUGGGGGAAACCCUGACCCAGCGACGCCGCGUGGGUGAAG
This 375-nucleotide ribosomal RNA is filed under the name uncultured bacterium. Its description in RNAcentral is "bacterial SSU rRNA". It matches the Rfam family "Bacterial small subunit ribosomal RNA", at positions 28 to 410 of the family's 1533-position model. The record is from RNAcentral.